AAGAAUCGAUUUAGUGGGUUUUAUUUCUACUUUUGAAAAUUCGAAAUAACUUUGCAAAAUAAAAAGACUUCAAUAAAUUUAAUACUUUAGAAAAUGACGUCAAUUUGAUGACAUCAUAAAACAAGUGAAGCAAGUAAAUAGCAACAAUGAAAAAAAAAAGAAAAAAAAAGGGGCAGUUUCCACGCGUAAUGAGGUUUGAAAAAGUCUUCGGUCAAAUCGCUUGACUCAUUCAUAAUAUUAUCGCUAAUAUUUGUUUUGUUUCCCUUCUAAUUAAAUAAUGUAUGUAUUUAGCUUAGGUUCAAAUCACUCAUUGGAAAAAAAAAAAAAAAUAAUAGUGGUUUUAAGUUUAUAUAUUACUCUUAAUAUUCGUGUUGUUGAAUGACAUCUGCAUUUUGGUUAUCCAACAAAGAAGUCACACACCCUCACCCAAUAACAACAAAC
Molecule: long non-coding RNA, 441 nt
Filed under: Capsella rubella
Lineage: Eukaryota; Viridiplantae; Streptophyta; Magnoliopsida; Brassicales; Brassicaceae
Description: long non-coding RNA (CRUB_LNC002343)
Source: RNAcentral